GACGUCGCGAGAAUUCCACUGAACCUUAUCAUUUAGAGGAAGGAGAAGUCGUAACAAGGUUUCCGUAGGUGGACCUGCAGAAGGAUCAUUG
This 91-nucleotide ribosomal RNA is filed under the name Melampodium mayfieldii. RNAcentral's name for it is "partial 18S ribosomal RNA". It matches the Rfam family "Eukaryotic small subunit ribosomal RNA", at positions 1741 to 1831 of the family's 1831-position model. The record is from RNAcentral. Lineage: Eukaryota; Viridiplantae; Streptophyta; Magnoliopsida; Asterales; Asteraceae.